GCCGCUGUAGCUUAGUGGUAGAGCAGCUGAUUCGUAAUCAGCAGGUCGGGGGUUCAAGUCCCCUCAGCGGCU
RNAcentral lists this transfer RNA (72 nucleotides) under Thermoplasmata archaeon. Its description in RNAcentral is "tRNA-Thr". It matches the Rfam family "tRNA". From Rfam's summary of the family: Transfer RNA (tRNA) molecules are approximately 80 nucleotides in length. Lineage: Archaea; Methanobacteriati; Thermoplasmatota; Thermoplasmata. The record is from RNAcentral.